This 432-nucleotide ribosomal RNA is filed under the name uncultured bacterium. Its description in RNAcentral is "partial 16S ribosomal RNA". It matches the Rfam family "Bacterial small subunit ribosomal RNA", at positions 338 to 795 of the family's 1533-position model. The record is from RNAcentral.
CCUACGGGAGGCUGCAGUGGGGAAUAUUGGACAAUGGGCGCAAGCCUGAUCCAGCCAUACCGCGUGGGUGAAGAAGGCCUUCGGGUUGUAAAGCCCUUUUGUUGGGAAAGCGGUACCCAAAGAAUAAGCACCGGCUAACUUCGUGCCAGCAGCCGCGGUAAUACGAAGGGUGCAAGCGUGACUCGGAAUUACUGGGCGUAAAGCGUGCGUAGGUGGUUGUUUAAGUCUGUUGUGAAAGCCCUGGGCUCAACCUGGGAAUUGCAGUGGAUACUGGGCGGCUAGAGUGUGGUAGAGGGUAGUGGAAUUCCCGGUGUAGCAGUGAAAUGCGUAGAGAUCGGGAGGAACAUCCGUGGCGAAGGCAGCUACCUGGACCAAACUGACACUGAGGCACGAAAGCGUGGGGAGCAAACAGGAUUAGAUACCCUUGUAGUC